Molecule: long non-coding RNA, 1560 nt
Filed under: Nicotiana tabacum (common tobacco)
Lineage: Eukaryota; Viridiplantae; Streptophyta; Magnoliopsida; Solanales; Solanaceae
Description: long non-coding RNA (NTAB_LNC004904)
Source: RNAcentral
AUGGGAUCGACUCAAUUUUGGUUCGACAAUUGGACUAAGUUGGGAGCCUUAUAUUUUCAAGUGCCUGCAGAGUUGGGAGCCUUAUAUGUAAAUGAUCUGGUUGAAAAUGGUAUGUGGAAUGUGGAUAAAAUAUUUGAGAGCCUACCUGAAGAUUUGGCAAACCACAUUAUGCAGAAUAUCAGACCACCAACUAAAAGUUUACAGUUAGAUACUCCUUUCUGUAUGCUUGAAACAAGAGGACAUUUUACAGUAAAGUCUGCAUGGGAUUACAUGCGAAGAAGAGCCAACCCAAGAUUAGCUUACAAGAUGAUAUGGGUAAAAGGUUUACCUUUCAAGAUAUCCUUCUUCAUGUGGAAGGUGUGGAAAGCCAAACUGCCACUUGAUGAUUUCUUGCGUAAACUAGGAUACUCCAUGCCAUCAAAAUGUUGGUGAUGUGCUAAUCCUAAGGAGAAGUCAUUACUACAUUUGUUCUUCACAUCCAAUAUAGCUAGAAGUGUUUGGACCUACUUCCUGAGGAGAGCAGGAAUUGCAUUAGAUAGGUUGUCAUUACAUCAAGCAAUUACAAAGUGUUGGACAACAUCAGUAGUUCCUAGAUUGAAGCCAGUAUUACAAGCUUUACCUGCAUGCAUUGUAUGGGAACUUUGGAAGAGAAGAAAUAGCUUGAAAUAUGGAGAAGCAGUGUCAGUGAGCAGAGUUAUUUACUAUGUGUCAUCUACUAUGCAAGCUCUGAUCCAACUGAAAAAGCCUGGACUACAUGUGCCUCACAAGUGGCUAGACUUACUGACAAUGAUGGAGCAAUACACACCUCGAUUGAAAUAUGAUAAAGUAUUAUGGGAAUUUCCUUCAAGAGGGAGGAUCAAAGUGAAUACGGAUGGAGCAUGUAGAGGGAACCCAAGGAGGAGUUCAAUUGGUUUCUGCAUAAGGGAUGAGGUAGGUGAUUUGAUAUAUGCAGAAGGAAGGGAGAUUUCUGAAGGAACCAACAAUGUAUCAGAAGCAGUAGCUAUUGCGGAGGCAUUGAAGAUGUGCAAAAGAUUUAAUUAUUUCUAGAUAUGGCUGCAGACAAAUUCUAUGCUACUAAAGAACAUUAUAGAGGAAUCAUAAAAGCCUCCUUAGUAUAUUACUGAACAUGUAGAGGAGAUUUUAAGAUUUAAGGAACAAAGUAUCAUCAAUGUCACACACAUAUUCAGAGAAGGGAAUACAUUAGCAGACCACCUUGCCUAUUAUGCUCUAGAUGAAGGAAAUACCGAAUGCCAUGAUUUUUGGGAUAUGGACUCUAAAGGAAGGAGGAUUAAUAACGAAGAUAAGAAGCUAUGUCCUUACAUAAGAGUGAAGGUUGCAAGGAAUUAGGAGGAAAAGAGGACUCAUUUUGUUAUCAAACUAGAACCAUUCUUGAGGAGAGUUGGAUAGCAAUUUUUACGCUAACUCUGUUUAUCUUUUUUGCAGGUAUUUCAUCAAUGCUAAAGCCUAAUCUUAUAGUAGAAUCUCAAGUGGUGGUAUUAGUGCAGUGCAUUCAAUCCAUUGGGAGGACAUUAAACAUGGGCUUUGGCACGUUAACAAUUU